GGAAGAUCGUCAUCUCCGGUGAGGUGGCUGGACUUCAAAUCCAGUUGGGGGCGCCAGCGUUCCCGGGCAGGUUCGACUCCUGUGAUCUUCCGCCA
Molecule: transfer RNA, 95 nt
Filed under: Citrobacter freundii
Lineage: Bacteria; Pseudomonadati; Pseudomonadota; Gammaproteobacteria; Enterobacterales; Enterobacteriaceae
Also listed under: 363 other names
Description: tRNA-Sec
Rfam family: Selenocysteine transfer RNA
Source: RNAcentral